UGGAUUUGUGCCUCCACCUUAAAUAUUCUCAGAAUGUAAUAAAUCUCUCUGCUGCUGAGCCUCUCUGGAGUGUCAGUGAGGUGGGCAGCUGGCUCUUCUUGGGUUUGUUUUACCUCCUGAAUUUCCCCAGGAAAGCUGUGUGUGUGUGUGUGUGUGUGUGUGUGUAGGAAAGCUGAGAACUCAGCCAAGACAAUGGUCCAGGGGGGCCUUGUGUUGGGGAGAGGGUUCUUUGUCACUGCCUCCCCAGUACUGGGAGGCAGAAUGGGAGGCUGGGGGUGUUUAUGAGCCUCUUCCCUUUUUCUUUUCAAUUACAAUGAUACCUCAGGUAAUUAACUGCUAAUAACCUUGUUAAUUUAGAAUGGAUCCUCUCCCUUCUGGCCAUCUCAGGGAAGACAGAAGCCACAAGGGUCAGCAGGCAUGGAAGAAGAGAGAGGAUAGAUUGGGACUCAGGGAAAGUAAACAUGGUGAUGAAGAAGAGCCACUGCAUGAGAGGAAGACAAAGAAGAGGAGGAGGAGGAGGAGAGGAAGAGGAGGAACAGGGAGAAAAAGAGAAAGAGGAGGAGGAGGAAGAAGAGGAAGAAGAGCCACAUAGUAUUGGUAUGAGGUGGCACAGCUGAGAUACUUCCAAGAGGUCACCUAAAAAUUGGAGAGGGAGUAGGAGGCUGACCUUGGAUUCUCACCACCACAGCCUCCUCUUUCCUAGCUACACACGUUGGACCACAUUUCCCAGCUCCCCUUGCAGUUAGAUGUGACCAUGUGGCUGAAUUCUGGCCAAUGGGAUGUGAGCAGAGGUGGUGGGCACUUCCUGACUUGCCACUUUAGAACAUCCCUGGUGCAGUCCUUGCUUGUUUCCUUCACUUGUCAGACUCUGGAGUCCUAAAGGAGGAUGGAGCCACAAGAUGGAAACAGACUGGGUUUAUGAAUAACUGUGUGGAGCAAUCUCCCUAUUGAGCUGUGCUGUAAGCAAGAGAUGAACUUCUGUUGUGUUAAUCCAAUGAGAUUUAGGUGUUUAUGCACAAAGCAGCUAAGGUCCCUAUAACAGACACAGAGAUGUUCUGCCCUUUUGCUGCCAGCGUCUAUGUAGAUGUGGUGCCUCAAGACCUGAGAGCAGUGCUGGCCCGAGGGUGGAAGCGACCAGUAAGGAGGUCUCUAGGAAGUGUUGCUUCCGUGGCAGAAGGGGUAGUAGCCAACUGGACCUGUCCCUGGUAGUUGAACACAUAUGACUCCAUCCCCAGAUGUAACCAGAAAGACUACUCUCCUCUAGGGAUGGUUCUGCAAUCACAGUGGGGCAGAAAUGCAGCUUGUUGGUCUGUACUGUCACUUUGCAUUAAGUGUGUAAUAGAAUAGGGCCUAGCACAUGGUGAAUGCUGAUCUGGGUGGCUUUGAAAUUGCUGUGAGCAGAGAAGACCAGUGAUGCCGAGUUCGUACCUUCUAUUGCUGCCCAUCCUUCUCUUCCAGAUAUGGUGAAGGACGUGCUGUCAAGCUAUUAUGGAAGCUGAGUGCAACCUUACCAGCACCUGGUUUUUCUUAUACAUUAUGUUCCGAUCAGGAAGUCAACAUGGUAUGAUAUUAAUGACUCCAGAGGUAGCUUUUGAGGUAGGCCAUACACUGGCAGAAUACUAAUGUGCAUCGUGUGAUGGCUAGGUCACAGCCAAGGUCUCUUCCCUCCGUAGCCAGAGUUCUUAAAAUUAGGAAAUUAGUAAAAUGAUGAUUUGAAAAGAAAACAAGGGAAAGAAAGAAAGAUGGAAUUUUCUCAAUACCUAGAGAGACAACCACUGUUAAUAUUUUAGUUUAUAUCAUGCCAGUCUUUUUUCUUAUGUGUGCACACAUUACAUAUCUAGAAUAAUCCAC
This 1851-nucleotide long non-coding RNA is filed under the name Fukomys damarensis (Damara mole-rat). Its description in RNAcentral is "lncRNA (ENSFDAG00000032015.1)". The record is from RNAcentral. Lineage: Eukaryota; Metazoa; Chordata; Mammalia; Rodentia; Bathyergidae.